Molecule: ribosomal RNA, 253 nt
Filed under: uncultured bacterium
Lineage: Bacteria
Description: partial 16S ribosomal RNA
Rfam family: Bacterial small subunit ribosomal RNA
Source: RNAcentral
UACGUAGGGGGCGAGCGUUGUCCGGAUUCAUUGGGCGUAAAGCGCGCGUAGGCGGCUCCGCAAGUCGGCCGUGAAAUCUCCAGGCUCAACUUGGAGGGGUCGGGCGAGACUGCGGAGCUCGAGGUGGGCAGAGGGCAGUGGAAUUCCGGGUGUAGUGGUGGAAUGCGUAGAGAUCCGGAGGAACACCAGUGGCGAAGGCGGCUGCCUGGGCCUGGCCUGACGCUGAGGCGCGAAAGCGUGGGGAGCGAUCCGG